CAGUCGCCGCGGUAAUACGUAGGGCGCAAGCGUUAUCCGGAAUUAUUGGGCGUAAAGAGCUCGUAGGCGGUUUGUCGCGUCUGCCGUGAAAGUCCGGGGCUCAACCCCGGAUCUGCGGUGGGUACGGGCAGACUAGAGUGAUGUAGGGGAGACUGGAAUUCCUGGUGUAGCGGUGAAAUGCGCAGAUAUCAGGAGGAACACCGAUGGCGAAGGCAGGUCUCUGGGCAUUAACUGACGCUGAGGAGCGAAAGCAUGGGGAGCGAACAGGAUUAGAUACCCCAGUAGUCCCUGUCUCUUAUAA
This 301-nucleotide ribosomal RNA is filed under the name uncultured bacterium. Its description in RNAcentral is "partial 16S ribosomal RNA". It matches the Rfam family "Bacterial small subunit ribosomal RNA", at positions 509 to 809 of the family's 1533-position model. The record is from RNAcentral.